This 445-nucleotide ribosomal RNA is filed under the name uncultured bacterium. Its description in RNAcentral is "bacterial SSU rRNA". It matches the Rfam family "Bacterial small subunit ribosomal RNA", at positions 354 to 796 of the family's 1533-position model. The record is from RNAcentral.
GUGAGGAAUAUUGCGCAAUGGAGGCAACUCUGACGCAGCCAUGCUGCGUGCAGGAAGAAGGCGCUACGCGUUGUAAACUGCUUUUAACCGGGAAGAAACCCCAGGACGUGUCCUGGGUUGACGGUACCGGAGGAAUAAGCACCGGCUAACUUCGUGCCAGCAGCCGCGGUAAUACGAAGGGUGCAAGCGUUAUCCGGAUUCAUUGGGUUUAAAGGGUGCGUAGGCGGAGCGUUAAGUCAGUGGUGAAAUCAUGCAGCUUAACUGUAGACUUGCCAUUGAUACUGGCGCUCUUGAGUGCGCUUGAAGUGGGCGGAAUGUGCCGUGUAGCGGUGAAAUGCUUAGAUAUGGCACAGAACACCAAUUGCGAAGGCAGCUCACUAAGGCGAUACUGACGCUGAGGCACGAAAGCGUGGGGAUCGAACAGGAUUAGAAACCCGUGUAGUCC